AUUGAACGCUGGCGGCAGGCCUAACACAUGCAAGUCGAGCGGAUGAAGGGAGCUUGCUCCUGGAUUCAGCGGCGGACGGGUGAGUAAUGCCUAGGAAUCUGCCUGGUAGUGGGGGAUAACGUCCGGAAACGGGCGCUAAUACCGCAUACGUCCUGAGGGAGAAAGUGGGGGAUCUUCAGACCUCACGCUAUCAGAUGAGCCUAGGUCGGAUUAGCUAGUUGGUGGGGUAAAGGCCUACCAAGGCGACGAUCCGUAACUGGUCUGAGAGGAUGAUCAGUCACACUGGAACUGAGACACGGUCCAGACUCCUACGGGAGGCAGCAGUGGGGAAUAUUGGACAAUGGGCGAAAGCCUGAUCCAGCCAUGCCGCGUGUGUGAAGAAGGUCUUCGGAUUGUAAAGCACUUUAAGUUGGGAGGAAGGGUAGUAAGUUAAUACCUUGCUGUUUUGACGUUACCAACAGAAUAAGCACCGGCUAACUUCGUG
RNAcentral lists this ribosomal RNA (484 nucleotides) under uncultured bacterium. Its description in RNAcentral is "partial 16S ribosomal RNA". It matches the Rfam family "Bacterial small subunit ribosomal RNA", at positions 30 to 507 of the family's 1533-position model. The record is from RNAcentral.